Non-coding RNA from Ictidomys tridecemlineatus (thirteen-lined ground squirrel), 76 nucleotides. Lineage: Eukaryota; Metazoa; Chordata; Mammalia; Rodentia; Sciuridae. The record is from the annotation of a RefSeq genome assembly.
GGGGCUGUAGCUCAGUUGGUAGAGAGCCUGCCUCGCACGCACGAGGCCCUGGGUUCAAUCCCCAGCACCAGCACCA